GGGAGCGGUUUUGGGGGGACACCAAAAGGGAGAACGCGCUGGGAAUACCAGGUGCUGAAAGCGUUUUC
RNAcentral lists this ribosomal RNA (68 nucleotides) under Hime japonica. The record is from RNAcentral. Lineage: Eukaryota; Metazoa; Chordata; Actinopteri; Aulopiformes; Aulopidae.